AUAGCAACCCCGUGGCUUGCAACGACAAAAAAGCUCAAGGCAGGAACAGCAGCCCAGGGACCUGAGACCAGCGUUCUCAAAUGAAGGUGCCAGAUCUGCUGUUAGAGGAGAAUUCUUCUGUCCUAGCUGUGUCUCUGUGAUCUGUGGAUGAGGGUGGGAAAGCACCACUCAGUCAAUUGGGGUGUACAAAAUGGAGUUUGAGAAGGUCUCACAUCCAGGUUGUUUUGAAGCAAAGUCCAAGCAUUGUAUCACUUCAUCUGCAAAUAUUUCAAUAAGUACCCAAAAGUAACCUCUUUACUCCUUUCCAUGAAGAUUUCCAUGCCUCAGAACAAAGUUGACCUCAUCUUGAAGACAGGAUAGAGGGGAGAUAAUGCCUGUCAACAUCUAUCACAAAAUGUUGCUCAACUUACUGAUGAAUUAAUAAAAAGUCAUCUGUACUCUCUUCUGAAGCCCAUCAUCUGCUCCUUGGUUGGACUGAGUCCCAUGAAGCCAGAUCACUUCUGACUGCAAGGAGCUUGGAAAAGCAAGUAUCUGGAUCUUUUACCAGCUAAAUUUGGAGAAUUAUUGAUCAAAUUUGGAUCUCUGUGUGCUGUCCUCCAAUUUAAUACUUUCUGUGUUGCUGUUUUAUUUUCUUUCUUCUGGAACCUGGCAAAGUGCGUCAAGCGAUGAGGCUUCCUCUUUGAAGAUCACAGGUGAGAAGAUUAGGUGCUUUCUCAGAAGCCCAGCAACCUGAUGGGAGUGUGGAGUGAGCAAGACCCAAAUCGGAGCUUCAUCCCUGCAUGGUUCAUUUUGCUUAUUUGGCAAACUUGCCCUGCAGAAUCUACUCAAGCUUCCUCAGUUUCUCAAAUCAUUCUUGGGCAACAAAUGAACAAGAAAGAGGACGUCUUAUUAUCUGGUGUCUGGCUUGCUGAUUUAAUAACCUAGGAGACAGUGUUUGAAGAACACAAACUCUAAAGUCCUUCACUUAAAAAAAAAAAAAAA
Molecule: long non-coding RNA, 981 nt
Organism: Homo sapiens (human)
Lineage: Eukaryota; Metazoa; Chordata; Mammalia; Primates; Hominidae
Product: long intergenic non-protein coding RNA 1091
Source: Ensembl